Molecule: ribosomal RNA, 468 nt
Filed under: uncultured bacterium
Lineage: Bacteria
Description: partial 16S ribosomal RNA
Rfam family: Bacterial small subunit ribosomal RNA
Source: RNAcentral
GACGAACGCUGGCGGCGUGCUUAACACAUGCAAGUCGAACGGAAAGGCCCUGCUUUUGUGGGGUGCUCGAGUGGCGAACGGGUGAGUAACACGUGAGUAACCUGCCCUUGACUUUGGGAUAACUUCAGGAAACUGGGGCUAAUACCGGAUAGGAUCUCCUGCUGCAUGGUGGGGGUUGGAUAGUUUCGGCGGUUGGGGAUGGACUCGCGGCUUAUCAGCUUGUUGGUGGGGUAGUGGCUUACCAAGGCUUUGACGGGUAGCCGGCCUGAGAGGGUGACCGGCGACAUUGGGACUGAGAGACGGCCCAGACUGCAACGGGAGGCAGCAGUGGGGAAUAUUGCACAAUGGGAGGAAGCAUGAUGAAGAAACGCCGCGUGCGGGAUGACGGCCUUCGGGUUGUAAACAGCUGUCGCCUGUGACGAAGCGUGAGUGACGGUAAUGGGUAAAGAAGCACCGGCUAACUACGUG